UUUUAUUUUUUUGCUAUUUGCUUCUGAAGGAGUGGGUGUUAACUAAUCUUAGACUCCAGAUAAUGGCUUUGACAGACCUGCAUGGAGCUCAGAUUGUUGUAUAGCUAUUAAUUCAUUUAGACGUGCCAGCCUGCUGUUUGAUGGGCGUGCUGGCCGAGAAGAGAGAAUUGAUAUGUUAACCAGCCUGCGCURCUCUGGAAUUUGUACACAAGCGACCUCCUCUGUGCCUCAGAGCCCACAGGAAAGCUGCCUGCCCCAAGGCAAGUGAGGACGAAGGGCUCCCUUGGCCUCAGAGGAGAGGUGCUAGGCAAGAGGAACCCUUAGCUAGGCAAGAGGAACCCUAAGCUAGGCACCGAUGCUUCCUCUGCGUGGCUAAAGCCCUUUGUCAUCACUGCUGGCCUCGCUGAAGCACGCUGGUGGYUCCGUGUGAGUGCAGCGUGGCUGCCACUGCCUCCGUCAAUUCC
Long non-coding RNA from Nothoprocta perdicaria, 464 nucleotides. RefSeq lists it as uncharacterized. Lineage: Eukaryota; Metazoa; Chordata; Aves; Tinamiformes; Tinamidae. The transcript has 2 exons. The record is from RefSeq and is a predicted model, not a curated record.